GCUGCAGUUUAGAGAUAGCUCAGACUGGGGCUGCAAGAGCAGACAGAAGGAUGGAGAGAAGCAAUGAGAGAGCAAGCGAUGAAAAAAGAAAGAGCGUGACAGGUUUCCGAUUGAGAGUAUGACGAAGAUGUAUGGAAGGAAUGAAGCAGCAUUGAGGGACUGAACACGGCCUGGACUGUGAAACAGAAACAAGGAGACCACCUGUAAUCUAUCUGAACGCCAGCAAGGAAACAAAGAGAUACAGACUUUUUUUUUUUCCUAAGAGACAAUCCACAAGCUUCGGUCUCAGAAGGAUUCAAAGUCAUGAUUGUGGUUUGUAGGCUUAAGAAAAAUACAGAGCAUGCGAUGGCGAGUUGUUAGGAAGCGGCAAAAAAAAAACGGAAACAGUUGCAAUAUUAUGGAAGCUAAAAGGGAGGAGAGAGCAGCAUGACUCACAGCAGCUUGAAGGCUGUGUUUUGUAUGCCGGAGGAGGGCUAGAGGGAGAUAGAGGAGAAAUGAGAGAGACACGGGACGAUAAGUAGAAGGAACCUGAGUAGAAGUGAGCAGUUGUCAGAUGAAUAAAGAAGCCGCAAACGGGAGGCGAUGAGUGACAGGCGGCAGGCAGAGUGAAUCGGUUAGCUGGAGGGUUACGAAGGUGAAAGUUGGAGUAGAGUUGAGGAAGUGGUUGGUUUAGUAUGAGGGAAGGAUCACUGACAAGACCAAUAAUGACAGAAGAACAUGCUAAAACAUAGCUCCUCGGUUUGCAUAUGGGAAGUGUUGCAGCGGAAAUGUGACAUAGGGAUAUGAGAAGAAAUCAGGCCACAGAGCAAAAAUCCAAGCAGAAAGCUGUAGUUUUUAAAAAAAAGGACCAAAAUAGAAAUGCAGUAGACCAGAAAACAUGUCAGCGUAUGCACAAUGCCAGAGACAGCAUGGAAACUUUAACUGUGACAACGACACAGCAAGAGAUUCCCGUUAAAUAUUUAUGCUGACAGUCCACUCUGGAAAGAACUUCUUCCGUCACAGAGAGAAAACAGAUUGCUUUUAAUCCUGUGAGAUUUUUUUUUAUUUUUAUUUUUUUACACUAGACAAGCUGCUAAGUGUGUCAGGAUACGUUAAUAUCUUGCUGCAAACUUGCUGGGAUGUGACCACUUGGAUGCGAUUGGACAGGUGUGAAGAGAGAGCAUGGACUCCUGGAAGAAGAUGUGGAGUUGUGGAAGUCAAGAUGGAGGACAUGCACAUUUAAUUAGUUUUUUUUCCUGGCAUAUGUGCAGAGAAUUAAGCUUGAUCUUGACACUUACCACUGCCAUAUCAACCUUUUAGAUUUGGUCUAAAAAUUGCCCUUAAUUAAUCAUGUGGAUUAAUCCAGGUAAGCCAUAGCUUGAGGAAGUACUAUUUUGUGCAUCAUCCUGAAGGAUCGGGAAUAUAUCAUUUUUUUCUCCAUGACUCUUAAUGGCAUCAAGGUAUUAAGACAGUGACUCACUCGGCUCCGACCUGAAUAUCUGAUUCCUCAAAACAAUAAAAUAGGACAGCACACAGUCUCUCACCCCGCAGCUCUACAAAGACCAGCUUGGUGUUUAUGUGCGGGCGCAAGGACUGUCGAGGAGCUCCGCUGUGUCCGUGAACAUGCUUGUGAGGGAUGUAGACUUGCUUGUGCCUGCCAAGCUUCCAAGCCAGCUGUGUCUGUGCAAUUUUUACCCCAAACGUCACCCAGAGCUGUGUGUGUGUGCGUGUGCUGCCUGGAUUCCCACUGGCGAUAGAGCUGGACCUGGGCAGCGGUGUUGAGUGAGUGGAGGGGGGGGGGAGUACCAGGAGAGGGACGAGGAGGAGAAUAGUGAGGUGAAAGAAACCAACAGGCAAGAAGACAGGAAAAAAACGGACAUCAUGCUUGGAUAAACAAAAGAAAGAAAGGAGUUUCUGGCUGUCUCCCUGGUGCAAUGUGUGGCAUCGUGCCCUGUGGCGCUGGGGUUCUGUGAUGGUAACCAUGGUCCCCGGCAGCCGCUAUGUAUGCAGCACUCAUGCACGACAGGAGGACUCCACGAAUGAUCGAGAAGAACGAAUUUUAGCCGUCUUGGGCAUCAUCGGAACCAUUCUCAAUCUUUUAGUCGUCAUAUUUGUCUACAUAUACACCUCGGUCACUUAAGCGCUUUGGACAGUUGGCGCCAUUCCCAACAUUCCUACUGCCAUACAUGUCGGAUGGGAGGAUCCUUGGCUGGAUAGUCACCAUCCAGGACAGUUCUACUCCAUUUCCUGAAGACUGCUGCCAAUGUCAAGUCUUCGUUCCCUUCCUGCUCAUAUCCAGCUUGUCAUCUUAAGACAGCCUCCUGCCAAAUGACUGCUGACACUGCCUGUAGUCAUUACAUUGCAUUUCUAUGAAAAUGGGGCUUGAUGGUGGAUUAACUGUGCUGUGUCAUAUCACACUGUAAUAUAUAUUAAGAUUAUUGUUUUUAUUUGUGGGAUAGGGUUUAUUUCACUGCCAGAUAAAUAAUUACAGACCAAUGAAUAAAGAGGACACUGCAUAUAGUUUUAAUAGAAACAAUGAAAGCUCAAAUGUCACUUGACCAAUCAACUGAAGGACUUUUGUGCCUCACUUUUAAAAGUUUAUCUUAAUGUGCAUAUCAGCAGAUAAAUACACAAUGUUGUACAUUUCUAUUUACUGUAGCAAGCAGUUUUAAAAAAAAGAAUUCCAUGGAACUAACUUGUCCAUACCCGAGCACACCAGAAGAGAGAUUCCUGGCACUGCUGGGGGUCAUCGGCAUCAUACUUAAUCUUUUGCUGCUCGGCUUUGUCUACGUAUACACAUCUAUUUGAUACCGGGAAAAUAUUCAGCGUACAAUAUAUUCAGCUAUAUUUAGAAACAGCGUACAUGGGCAUAUGUGUCGUCUAGAUACACAUACUCAGUUAUUCACAUUUUGCACACGUCAGUUUAUAUUUCAUUCAUUUCCUGCGGCCCAGAUUAACAUCAUGACAUGUUUACUUAAGCUUCCAUUACCAUGGACGUUGCUAUGCUCUAACUAAAAUGACAGAUGUAAUUGAAUUAACACAGUUUUGUGCGAUUUGCCUUUUCAUGUUCACACUAUAAAACACAAAAAUGGAUCGAGAGGGUGUUGCCAAAUCAACCGUGGGUAUCAGCUCUCACAACAGCAACGAUCCCUCCAUGGAUGCUUGGUGUCAAAGAGUAAUGGUUUAUUUCCUGGUGCCCUGCCUCUUUGAUUGAAUCUGUCAAGCCGGAAUGGAGUACCGUCAAAGAUGUGAAAGUGUGAAACUGAGACAAUGUCACACAAAUCGAGACAGGAAUGAGCAAUGGGAAUGAGCAGAACCCGUUGAUACUGUCUUACAUUACUGGUACUAAUGGGAGGCUUUUACUGCCUGUUUGCAGUCAUGGAAAAACACCAAAAAUGACCUGCCAUUGGCUUGCAACAUUUCCCCUAAAGUUGCAUGUCAUUCUGGAUAUAAUCUGGGACUCUGAAGGUGAACAAGGACUGGUCUGAAUCCUCACCUCAACACUAGACCGACAUGGAUCUCUGCAGUAAAGCACACCGCUUUUGUACUGACACACACAGCCCGGUGCAUCUAAGCACCAAGGACGAGCUGAUCAUCAAUCAGUCAGGAGCUUGGAAGUAGACUUAUGAACCAUAUCACAACCACAGCGUUUUUUGCCAUGUAAAAAUAACUUUUGACUUUUUAUAAUCAUUUUAUUUUGAAGUAUUAUUGUGAAUUUUGGCAGUGUUUUCAUUUGAAAUCUGUUCUGAAAAGAACAUGGGGAAAUACGAUAACACAACAUACAACAUAUGCAUUACUGGAUUGUUUUUUUGUUUGUUUUUUUUGUUUCACCAAGUACAAACAGACGCAGACAGUUAUGUACGGUGGCUGAAAAAGGGGCAAACACUCUGCAAAGUCCAAAUGCUACAAACACAAACAUCUGCAGGAUCAACAAUAAUCUUUUGACUUUACAGUUUACUUAACAAUACAGAUGGAGACAAGCUGUCCUAUAAGCAGUUGGAUACAUUGUUGAAAAGAUGAAAAAAAUUCCAAUAUUUUCUCUAGCUUUGAUUUCAAGCAUCUCCAAUGUCACAACUUUUGUUUCUGUCCAGAGUUGCAUCCAUUUUUUGCCAAGAUCUUAAUGAUGGCGGGAGACAGAGACCACUACUCAAAGUUUCAUUACUGUGUUUUGACUUUUAUAAAUGCAUUGGAAAGUUGUUGUUUUUUCUGGAAAGUUACAAUUUUAGUAGUUUCAGUAGUCAGCUGUGCUUGAUGCAUGCCGAUAAUUUGACCCUUCCGAAACAGAUGAACAUCACGCAAAUUGUUCAAGAUAGUUGUGUAAGAAAUGAGAAGCUACACACUGCCACUGAAACAAUCACUCAUGCAGUAAAUACCCAAUGGGAGGCUCUUGAUUUUUUUUUUGUCCAGACGGUGUAUGUUGCUAGUAAACAAUAUUUUAAAUGUGCAUCACGGUGAAUGGAAACACCCUUGUUUUGGUUUGGACACACAACCCCUUCCUGCAUUAUCAUGGAAAUUGUUGCUAAAAAAAGGAACUGCAGUGCAAUUCUUCUUUAAACUGCUCCCAUUACAGAUGAAAUACCUUGACAACAAAUUAAUAAUUGAUGUGAAAAUGUAUCUUUAAAAAAUUGGUCCCUAAAAGCACAAUGGCUGAGUGCACAGAACAGACAUGUGCCAUCACUCUCCUUUAAUUGAAUUGAUGCAUCAUAUACUCCAUUUCAAAAGUCAACCGUAAGCAAAGCCAGUGAAAUGUAUCAUAGCUCACAAAGUUUAAAAUGUUUGUACACAAGCAAAUAUAUAAAAAUCAUUUAACCGGCUCAGGUUUACUUUGAUGGAAGUAGAGGCUUUACCAGUGUGGCUUUUUAAAGGUUGACCAAAAUAUAUACAUACAUAUAUAUGUAUGUAUAGUCUUUAAAUUACAUAUUUUUUCGGGUAUAACUUUAAACCUGAAAAUUUUUACAGUCAAAGGUUUUAAUAUUGAUCCCAAAAUAAUACUGCUGUUUGAUAUUGUGAAAAACUUCAACAGACCUAGAAGUAGAAAAGUCAUUGUUUUAAUAACAAUUCUAAGUGCUGUCAUGCUCUUGUCAGGGAUAGUGUCAGGGAUAUGAAUAAAUAUAUUAAUUCCCAAAAAAUUCUUAAAUAAAAUAUUUUAUUACUGUGGUUUUCUGCAUGAAUUUAAUGUUAAAUUUGGUUGAGACAAAUUUUAACUUGACUUGAUGCCAAACAAGCAAAAAGCCCAGAGGUCAUUUUGUUGCCAUCUGCUUUGCCCACAGACACCCAGCCACCCCCUCAGUGUACACGCACACACACACACACACACACACACACACACCUUCUCUUUUCGCAAUGUAACAUCAUGUUUUUGUGUGUUCAUUUUGGUACCUAUUUUUAAUCACUCUACAAAUAAAUUUGCGUUCACACCACUAAUGGGAAGCGCCUUCCAAGCCACAGGAAAAACAGCUGCACGCACCUGGGACUUGACGCACAAGAGUGAAAUAAAACCGAUGUUCAAUCCACAUCUGUAUUCACAAAUGUUCAUUCUGAGUCUCAGCCUGUCAACGACUGUAUAAUGAAAUACUCAUGCUUUUUUCAUGAUGCAUUAGUUGAACUGAUUUUUAGCCUGCCAAGGCAUCUCGGAUGCCUCAGAUUGGAGGGAAAAAAAUGUUGAGAAUAAGUGGAUGCUGGAAAUAUUCUAAUUGCUGAUGAAUAUUUAGGAGACAUAAGUCCCAGAGGAAUAAAAGAAAUGGCAAAAUGCAUGGUAAGGCAAUGGUAUAAUGAGGUUCAACGAAGCAAAAAAAAAAAAGGAAAAUAAUUAUAGUUUUGAAAAGAAACAUUUAUUCAAAAACCUAAUGAUUAACUCAUCAAUUUGAAUAUUUGUUUAUUAUUUCUCACAUUGUCAGCUAAAUAACUGUCAGCUGUGUUCAAACAUACAAACAAUCUGAUAUUCCAAAGGUCAUGCAUUACUAGUUCAUCCAAUUAUCCGCUGUAUAUUUAUAUUUCCUGUUAUACUGUGUAUAAGGAUACUACAGUAUAGUUAUAGUAAUGCCAAUGAAACGUUGCUUUCAUUCUGAGACAUUUUCACUUCAACACUGGAAUAUGACAACUGUAAUGUUAUUUGUGUAAGCUGUUUUGUGGGAUGGAUGAAUGACAUUUGUAUUA
Molecule: long non-coding RNA, 6135 nt
Organism: Doryrhamphus excisus (bluestripe pipefish)
Lineage: Eukaryota; Metazoa; Chordata; Actinopteri; Syngnathiformes; Syngnathidae
Source: RefSeq, a predicted model, not a curated record